UUUUCAAGCGCCUUAUAGACAUCGUCGAUGCAUUGUAUAAAAUAGGCCUAAAACCAAACCUUGUCUGGAAUAUUAUAGAAUAAGGGAUAAUUUUUAUCUAUAGGGUACUCGAAGACUUAGUACAACGAAUGACGGAAUAGUACAAUGAAUAGCUGAAGACUUGGUAUUGCACAACUUGACAAUGUACAACGAUUGACAUGGAAACACACGAGGAACUACCGUACAGUCUGGUGAUUGGUUCACUACUGAUGGUCCUGAUGAUGUCUUUUGUUGUUACGCGAGUAUUAACAGGAACAUGUAAGAAUGCUGCCGAUUUGCGACCUGUACCAAAACAAAAGUCUAACUGAGUCAUCCCAGCUACACCAAUCUAGCAAUACGAAUCAUCGAUUUAUUUAUGUAAUAAAAUGUUAUCAAUACAAUAAAUAUAUAAAAUUGUUAA
Magallana angulata is the source of this 439-nucleotide long non-coding RNA. RefSeq lists it as uncharacterized. NCBI's taxonomy places the organism in Eukaryota, Metazoa, Mollusca, Bivalvia, Ostreida, Ostreidae. The record is from RefSeq and is a predicted model, not a curated record. The transcript is spliced from 3 exons.